Molecule: ribosomal RNA, 1189 nt
Filed under: Lactiplantibacillus plantarum
Lineage: Bacteria; Bacillati; Bacillota; Bacilli; Lactobacillales; Lactobacillaceae
Description: bacterial SSU rRNA
Rfam family: Bacterial small subunit ribosomal RNA
Source: RNAcentral
AAUGAUACGUAGCCGACCUGAGAGGGUAAUCGGCCACAUUGGGACUGAGACACGGCCCAAACUCCUACGGGAGGCAGCAGUAGGGAAUCUUCCACAAUGGACGAAAGUCUGAUGGAGCAACGCCGCGUGAGUGAAGAAGGGUUUCGGCUCGUAAAACUCUGUUGUUAAAGAAGAACAUAUCUGAGAGUAACUGUUCAGGUAUUGACGGUAUUUAACCAGAAAGCCACGGCUAACUACGUGCCAGCAGCCGCGGUAAUACGUAGGUGGCAAGCGUUGUCCGGAUUUAUUGGGCGUAAAGCGAGCGCAGGCGGUUUUUUAAGUCUGAUGUGAAAGCCUUCGGCUCAACCGAAGAAGUGCAUCGGAAACUGGGAAACUUGAGUGCAGAAGAGGACAGUGGAACUCCAUGUGUAGCGGUGAAAUGCGUAGAUAUAUGGAAGAACACCAGUGGCGAAGGCGGCUGUCUGGUCUGUAACUGACGCUGAGGCUCGAAAGUAUGGGUAGCAAACAGGAUUAGAUACCCUGGUAGUCCAUACCGUAAACGAUGAAUGCUAAGUGUUGGAGGGUUUCCGCCCUUCAGUGCUGCAGCUAACGCAUUAAGCAUUCCGCCUGGGGAGUACGGCCGCAAGGCUGAAACUCAAAGGAAUUGACGGGGGCCCGCACAAGCGGUGGAGCAUGUGGUUUAAUUCGAAGCUACGCGAAGAACCUUACCAGGUCUUGACAUACUAUGCAAAUCUAAGAGAUUAGACGUUCCCUUCGGGGACAUGGAUACAGGUGGUGCAUGGUUGUCGUCAGCUCGUGUCGUGAGAUGUUGGGUUAAGUCCCGCAACGAGCGCAACCCUUAUUAUCAGUUGCCAGCAUUAAGUUGGGCACUCUGGUGAGACUGCCGGUGACAAACCGGAGGAAGGUGGGGAUGACGUCAAAUCAUCAUGCCCCUUAUGACCUGGGCUACACACGUGCUACAAUGGAUGGUACAACGAGUUGCGAACUCGCGAGAGUAAGCUAAUCUCUUAAAGCCAUUCUCAGUUCGGAUUGUAGGCUGCAACUCGCCUACAUGAAGUCGGAAUCGCUAGUAAUCGCGGAUCAGCAUGCCGCGGUGAAUACGUUCCCGGGCCUUGUACACACCGCCCGUCACACCAUGAGAGUUUGUAACACCCAAAGUCGGUGGGGUAACCUUUUAGGAACCAGCCGC